GUAAAAUGUAAAUAAAACAUAAGAAGCAUAAGAUUUUGGUAAAAUAUAGAUCAUCGUAUCAAAGCCAUUGCGAAAAGGUAGAAGUGAAUUUGGUGAUGCAAAAAUUAGUUUAUCGGAUCUUGAGUGAAAUAUAAAAAGCAGAAUUAUUUAUGUGUUUUCGUUCGGAAAUUAGUUCUGAGUUUCGGAUAUAGCUAUUGAAAAGUUGAAUCCUGCGGUAGUAAACGUACCCUGAAAAGAAAAGAAUAGUUAAAGGAAACUAGGCAACUAUAAAUGAACUAGCCCAGCGGUGAUGAAACCUGUGAAGGAAGAAAGGGAUCGAAGAGAAACUAUAAAUUGUAAGUUUGAAAAUUGUUAAUCGCACUAAAGAAUAAUUACUAACUUAAUAAAUUUAGUUUCAAGCUGCUGUAAUCGAAUAACACUGCUGUGGAAAUUUUAUUUCGAGAACUGGUCCGAACAUGA
Molecule: long non-coding RNA, 459 nt
Organism: Aedes aegypti (yellow fever mosquito)
Lineage: Eukaryota; Metazoa; Arthropoda; Insecta; Diptera; Culicidae
Exons: 3
Source: RefSeq, a predicted model, not a curated record